Molecule: ribosomal RNA, 416 nt
Filed under: Subnicoletiinae sp. H-TN014
Lineage: Eukaryota; Metazoa; Arthropoda; Insecta; Zygentoma; Nicoletiidae
Description: partial small subunit ribosomal RNA
Rfam family: Microsporidia small subunit ribosomal RNA (bases 44-416)
Source: RNAcentral
CUAGGAUUAGAUACCCUAUUAUUAGUAGUGUAAAGAGUAGCUUAGGUAUUAAUUGGUGUUCAUGAAACCUAGAGAAUUUGGCGGUGCUUUAGUCUUUUUAGAGGAACCUGUCCUAUAAUCGAUAAUCCACGUUGUUAUUACCUGGUUUGAUUAAGAGUUUGUAUAUCGCCGUCAGAAGGAAAUUUCUUGAGAAUAAUAAUUUUUUUGAUAUUGAGGGAUAAGAUGACAGGUCAAGGUGCAGCUAAUGAGUAGGGAGGAGAUGGGUUACAAUGUAAGGAAUGCAUAUGGAUUCUUCAUAUAAAGAGGGGAUGAAGGUGGAUUUAAGAGUAAUUUUUAUAAGAGUAGGGGUGAAGGUGGCUCUAAGGCGUGCACACAUCGCCCGUCACUCUCAUGAUUUUGAGAUAAGUCGUAACAUA